GCCAUCCUGUCACCAGUUGCUACCUGAUGUCUGUCUCCUCUUCCUUGUCCCUCACCAUCGGCGAUGCCGUGAUCUCCUCGUCCGAUUAAUUUUUUUUUUUUAAUUUUCAGCUGCCUAAUUGUCCAUCGCAAUACCAGAUCUCCUCUCAGUACCAGAUCGCCAGACGAAGAGCAACCCGCCCACUGAACCCUUUUUUUAUCCGGGUUUGUUGAUUGGUUUUUAAUUUCUGAGAAAAUUUGUUGAAGAUGUACACUGCUGUCUGUACAUUCUUUUUUGGUCAUUAAUUGGGUACGAAUGCUGCAGGGUGAAUAUUGAUUCAGAGAAGAUUUGUUGAGGUUUCUUUCAGAUCUGAGAACACCUCUCAGAAACGGUUUGAUAACUCAAAAACCCUAACCGCAGAAUUUUUGGUUGCUGGUAUUGUUUUCUUCAAUAUUUGAGAUGGAGAAGUUGAUUUAUAUUCACGUUUUGAGGUUGGGAGAAUCUUUGUAUGAAUCAGAUGAUGUAGAUAGUGGCUAUAGGGACGCAACAAACGAUUGGUAUUUGUUGAAACAAACCGAUGGUAAUAAUGGUGUUGAAAUCAAUUCUCGAGAGUUUUCGAGGAUAUAAAUCAAGUAAACCACCCAGGUCCUGCACUUGUGGACGCCGAUUGUGCAGUUAUUGGUUCUUCUAUUUACGUCAUCGGUGGCCGCAGUAACCUGACUGACAUAUUUUGGGUGCGCUGUGGUGGUGAUGGGUGCAAGGAGAUACGGUGUCUAGACAUGAGAAAUGCUGGAGAUGGUUGGAAGACUUGUUUUGCUUUGCCAUUCGCUUUCAGUGGAGGUAGAUCUACUUUUGUUGACGGUCGUUGGUUGUAUCUGUUUGCUGGUAACCGCCAUGAUGGGCUUCGCAACCCGGACCCUUGGGGUUUUGCUUUGAAUGUUGUUGACAGCAACAAAGGUGAAGCCGAAGUAAGAAACAUAAUCCAACCGCAUUUAUCUCGUUUUUAUCCAAUUGCUUCAGCAUCUUUGUCCCCAGGUACACUUAUUGCCUAUAUGGUGGAUGAACGCACUUUGUAUCAACUAGAUUGCUCAAAUGGGUCUUGGACUGUCUACCAGAAGGACUUGCCUUAUGGUUCUUAUCCAUUUCUCGGUUGCAUCACACUUUCAGAUGAUCGAAUUCUUUAUAUGUACGAUACUAUACACAUGCGCUUGGAUUCCUAUGACGUUGCAAACAGAAAAGAACUUCCUUCGGUUGAUCUUCCCCGGUCCUUUUGGUUUGGUCAUGGGGAAGAGGUCGAGCUCAUUGUCCUUGCUAAGGACAGGUUCUGCGUUAUAUGGCAUGUUUAUGGUUAUGAUGUCAAUGAAAUGUGCAUUUAUUACACUAGAUUCUCAGUUUCUUCUGAUCUACCUAAGCCCACUGUCACUGUUGAGGAUAGCAGGGCUUUUCCAAUCAGAGGCGUCAAAAUACUCAAUAUUGUAACUCUUGAUCCACAUUCAGAUGCAAUGGCCAAUGACUUGAGCUACAACAGCAGAGUUGAUAAUUGGAAGUUGGUAGAGACAAACAUGGACGAAACUGGCAACUCUAACUUAGCUUAGCUUAGCUUUUGUAUGGGUUGUGGUUAUCUUGCAAACUAACAUGUUUUUUCAUGUUGAUUUUCUGUUUGGCCAAUAACACAUAUUUGAGUUUGAGGUGGUGUGUGGACUUGGCAGUGAUGGUUGCUUUUAAGUAUUGAGUUCCCUUCUGGCUGGAAUUGUACAUGUUCUAUUGUUGCAUUAUUUUAUUUUGGCUUACUUUAAAUCAAAAUUUUUUAUGGACUUUGGGAAGGUGAAUCUUUAUAUAUUAAUGGAGCUGGCAAUUUAGUAGACUAAUUAAAAUGAAAUGGUUUUAUUUAUAGAUCAAGUCCAAGCUUGUGGCAUUUAACUUCUGUGUUAGUCUGACAUUUCUAUUUGGAAAGUUUGUUCCUGUAGCUUCUUGUGAUUUUUAGUAAUGUUGUCUUUUCGGCCUGCUUGCCCAUAUGGUUGAUAUCAGAAUGUUUAAAUGAAACAAAA
This 2027-nucleotide unclassified non-coding RNA is filed under the name Hevea brasiliensis (rubber tree). Lineage: Eukaryota; Viridiplantae; Streptophyta; Magnoliopsida; Malpighiales; Euphorbiaceae. The record is from RNAcentral.